UCCAUGGUCACACAGGCAGUCUUGGUC
This 27-nucleotide non-coding RNA is filed under the name Homo sapiens (human). Lineage: Eukaryota; Metazoa; Chordata; Mammalia; Primates; Hominidae. The record is from RNAcentral.